Molecule: ribosomal RNA, 502 nt
Filed under: Laccophilus sp. MB1175
Lineage: Eukaryota; Metazoa; Arthropoda; Insecta; Coleoptera; Dytiscidae
Description: partial 16S ribosomal RNA
Rfam family: Bacterial large subunit ribosomal RNA (bases 379-502)
Source: RNAcentral
GUCCUUUUGAUUAUAAUUUAGGUCUAACCUGCCCAAUGAAUAUUUUAAUGGCCGCAGUAAUUUGACUGUGCAAAGGUAGCAUAAUCAUUAGUUUUUUAAUUGAAAGCUUGUAUGAAUGGUUGGACGAGAAAAAGACUGUCUAAGUUUAUUUAUUGAAUUUAAUUUUUUAGUUAAAAAGCUAAAAUUUUAUUAAAAGACGAGAAGACCCUAUAGAUCUUUAUAUAAUUUUGUAUAGAUUUAAUAAAGAAUUUUUUAUUAUUUAUAUUUAAUUAUAUUUUAUUGGGGUAAUAUAAAAAUUGAAUUAAUUUUUUAUUAUUUAAAUAUUUAAUUAUAAUUAUAUGAUCCAAUCUUAUUGAAAUAUGAUUAAGUUACCUUAGGGAUAACAGCGUAAUUUUUUUAGAGAGUUCAUAUCGAUAAAAAAGAUUGCGACCUCGAUGUUGGAUUAAAAUUAAUCUUAGGUGCAGAAUUUUAAGAUUUUGGUCUGUUCGACCAUUAAAAUUUU